This 253-nucleotide ribosomal RNA is filed under the name uncultured bacterium. Its description in RNAcentral is "partial 16S ribosomal RNA". It matches the Rfam family "Bacterial small subunit ribosomal RNA", at positions 524 to 776 of the family's 1533-position model. The record is from RNAcentral.
UACGUAGGGGGCUAGCGUUGCUCGGAAUCACUGGGCGUAAAGCGCGCGUAGGCGGACCUGCAAGUCGGGGGUGAAAGCCCGAGGCUCAACCUCGGAACUGCCUUCGAUACUGCGGGUCUCGAGUCCGGGAGAGGUGAGUGGAAUUCCUAGUGUAGAGGUGAAAUUCGUAGAUAUUAGGAAGAACACCAGUGGCGAAGGCGGCUCACUGGCCCGGUACUGACGCUGAGGCGCGAAAGCGUGGGGAGCAAACAGG